Molecule: long non-coding RNA, 1548 nt
Filed under: Bos indicus x Bos taurus (hybrid cattle)
Lineage: Eukaryota; Metazoa; Chordata; Mammalia; Artiodactyla; Bovidae
Description: lncRNA (ENSBIXG00005015651.1)
Source: RNAcentral
GCCCAGGCCACAGAGGAGGCAUUGAUGGCAAAAGAGGCGCCCAGAGGCUGCUGCAGCUGGGGUAACGUGGGCAUUACUGGGCUGGCAGGAGAAGAAGAAUGAUCCUCGGGCUCCAGGGCCCACGUCUGAGCAUCUGGGGUCAGCGAGGGAACCCCAGGCAUCCUUGCCUUGAGAGGCUUCCACGUGGCAGGCAGCAAAUAAACAUUAGAGUGGCCAGUGGCCAACUCUGCCCCCCCGGAAGCCUUUCGCUGAUGGCCACAUGAGCUGCCCACUCCAGGGACCACCUAGCCAGGGUGCUUUCAGAACAGGCAACUGCUUCAGAGCAAGCCAGACCCCAUUCACCUGUCCCUGAGCCCGGGGAGACAGAUGUGUGCCAAGAGGCACCCACACAGACACAGGCACUCAAACACACCUGCACACACAAACGAGUACAAACACACGUGUGCACACACACUGACACAUUCCUACGCAGCCAGAUAUGCAUACACCUACAUAUGCAUGCACACAUACAGACACAAAUGCACCCAUAGACACAUCUGCGGACACGUGCACCCAAGACCCACUCACAUAACGCAUACCCUCACAGACACAUAGGUACACUUGCACACACACAACAUACUUGCACACACAAGGACCCACCAGUGCCCAACCCUGCCAGGCCUCAGCGCCGGGAGGAGGGACUGCUAAUCUAGGCUCCCCAGCUGCCCCUGCCUUCCUCCCGGAGCCCCCAGGCCGGCAGGGGGCGCCCGAGGCCCCUUCCGUCCGGGCCCAGCCCUGGCGGGAGGGAGCGCUCGCGGGUGCCACCCACCCUCCGCCCUCCCAAGCUAGGUCCCCUUUGUUCCCCCACCCGGAAAGAGGCCGCCGCGCCGGGGAAGCACCCAGCCACAGAGUCCUCCAGGUGCCGAUCCUGCGCUUUCGUCUUGGUCCCGGAGAUGACCGAGUCCAGCACACGGACCGCCACGACCACAGGGAGGGAGAGCCAGCUCAUCAUCGCCCACUGCCGUGUCCAGCUCUUCUGGCCCCAAGGAGCCUCCAGUGAGGACUUUGAUUCCUAAAGAACAGAAGCCUGGGGGCCUCCCUCUCCUCUCACCCUGAAACCUGGAAUCCUGGAGCUGUGCUAGGCAGAGAUUAUAUACAACGGAGUCAUUUAAGACCUGCCUCUGCUGCUAAGUUCUGGGCCUUGGGUGAGUGCGUGACCCUUCUGAGCCUCAGUUUUCCCAUCUGUAAAAUGGGCUUCCAUUUUUUACAAUGACAUCUGUAAAAUGUCAUUGUAAAAAAUGACAUUCUCUACCUUGCAGGUGGGUGUGAGGAUACACAACUCGGUGGAGACCUGGUGUGGGGCCUGGCGCACAGUGAGUGGAAGCUGGCUCCUGACCCUGUGGUGAUUCCUGGGUGCUGACCCCUUUCCUGACUGAGCCCCUGGACAAGGUUUGGACCCCAGCAGAGAACCCCUCAGUACGUGCUCACUAAACCCUGGGACCUGCCCAGGAUGGGGCAGCCUGGGGACGCUGCACCUGUGCCAUCAGCAAACUGCGUGUGUCAGGGAGA